AACGCGAAGAACCUUACCUGGGCUUGAACCGCUACUGACCAAGGGUAGAAAUAUCCUCUUCCCGCAAGGGACAGUAGUAGAGGUGCUGCAUGGCUGUCGUCAGCUCGUGCCGUGAGGUGUUGGGUUAAGUCCCGCAACGAGCGCAACCCUUACUCGUAGUUGCCACCCGCAAGGGGGAACUCUACGAGGACUGCUCCGGAUAACGGAGAGGAAGGUGGGGAUGACGUCAAGUCAGCACGGCCUUUAUGUCCAGGGCUACACACGUGUUACAAUGCAUGGUACAGACUGUUGCGAACCCGCGAGGGGGAGCUAAUCGGACAAAGCCAUGCUCAGUUCGGAUUGCAGUCUGCAACUCGGCUGCAUGAAGCUGGAAUCGCUAGUAAUGGCGCAUCAGAUCGGCGCCGUGAAUACGUUCCCGGGCCUUGUACACACCGGCUAC
Molecule: ribosomal RNA, 439 nt
Filed under: uncultured bacterium
Lineage: Bacteria
Description: bacterial SSU rRNA
Rfam family: Bacterial small subunit ribosomal RNA
Source: RNAcentral